AACGCUGGCGGCGUGCCUAAUACAUGCAAGUCGAACGGUCUUUUCUAUGGAAGCUUGCUUCCACUGAGAAGAUAGUGGCGAACGGGUGAGUAACACGUGGGUAACCUGCCCAUAAGAGGGGGAUAACAUCCGGAAACGGGUGCUAAUACCGCAUAGUUUUCUUAAUCGCAUGAUUGAGAAAAGGAAGACGGCCUUUGUGCUGUCGCUUAUGGAUGGACCCGCGGCGUAUUAGUUAGUUGGUGAGGUAACGGCUCACCAAGACGAUGAUACGUAGCCGACCUGAGAGGGUGAUCGGCCACAUUGGGACUGAGACACGGCCCCAAAACUCCUACGGGAGGCAGCAGUAGGGAAUCUUCCGCAAAUGGACGAAAGUCUGACGGAGCAACGCCGCGUGAGUGAAGAAGGUUUCGGAUCGUAAAACUCUGUUGUCAGAGAAGAACAAGUUGAGAGUAACUGCUCCAGCCUUGACGGUAUCUGACCAGAAAGCC
Molecule: ribosomal RNA, 488 nt
Filed under: uncultured bacterium
Lineage: Bacteria
Description: bacterial SSU rRNA
Rfam family: Bacterial small subunit ribosomal RNA
Source: RNAcentral